RNAcentral lists this ribosomal RNA (888 nucleotides) under uncultured archaeon. Its description in RNAcentral is "bacterial SSU rRNA". It matches the Rfam family "Archaeal small subunit ribosomal RNA", at positions 25 to 921 of the family's 1478-position model. The record is from RNAcentral.
GACUGCUAUCAGAGUGGGACUAAGCCAUGCGAGUCAACAUAGCAAUAUGUGGCAUACGGCUCAGUAACACGUAGUCAACAUGCCCAGGGGACGUGGAUAACCUCGGGAAACUGAGGAUAAACCGCGAUAGGUCAUCACUUCUGGAAUGGGUAAUGACUUAAACCUAUAUGGCCCCUGGAUUGGACUGCGGCCGAUCAGGCUGUUGGUGAGGUAAUGGCCCACCAAACCUGUAACCGGUACGGGCUCUGAGAGGAGGAGCCCGGAGAUGGGCACUGAGACAAGGGCCCAGGCCCUAUGGGGCGCAGCAGGCGCGAAACCUCUGCAAUAGGCGAAAGCUUGACAGGGUUACUCUGAGUGAUUUCCGUUAAGGAGAUCUUUUGGCACCUCUAAAAAUGGUGCAGAAUAAGGGGUGGGCAAGUCUGGUGUCAGCCGCCGCGGUAAUACCAGCACCCCGAGUGGUCGGGACGUUUAUUGGGCCUAAAGCAUCCAUAGCCGGUUCUACAAGUCUUCCGUUAAAUCCACCUGCUUAACAGAUGGGCUGCGGAAGAUACUAUAGAGCUAGGAGGCGGGAGAGGCAAGCGGUACUCGAUGGGUAGGGGUAAAAUCCGUUGAUCCAUUGAAGACCACCAGUGGCGAAGGCGGCUUGCCAGAACGCGCUCGACGGUGAGGGAUGAAAGCUGGGGGAGCAAACCGGAUUAGAUACCCGGGUAGUCCCAGCUGUAAACGAUGCAGACUCGGUGAUGAGUUGGCUUAUUGCUAACUCAGUGCCGCAGGGAAGCCGUUAAGUUUGCCGCCUGGGGAGUACGGUCGCAAGACUGAAACUUAAAGGAAUUGGCGGGGGAGCACCACAAGGGGUGAAGCCUGCGGUUCAAUUGGAUUCAACGCCGG